GGACCACCCAGGCAUGCAGGGGAUGCUGCCUCUCCUCCAUCCAACAACAAGCCUGCGUGUGCCCAGCCCCCUCUGGUACACGCAUUGCUCCCCAUCCUCGGCAUUGAUCAAUUGAAAAUAAGACCUUGGAAGAACCCCUUGCAAAGCUGACAUUGUACGAGCCAAGGCAGUGAGCCUCACAGGGUCAGGGGGAAGACAGGGGAUCCCGAAGAUAACGUCUGCUACGAACUCAAUUGCAUCCGCCCCGGGCCCUAAGUUGAAGCCCUAAUCCCCACGUUGACUGCAUUUGGAGAAGGACCUUCAGCACAUGAUGGAGGUGGCCCCGGAGAGGGUCAGCGAGGGGCCUCCACUGUCUGAGUCCGCUCCUGGCAACGCCUGCUCUCUGCACUCAGAGGCCCGGUCCCGGCAGCUGCCACGUUGCUCAGAAGUUCUGGCAGGGGGAGCCUGAAACCCCUGUCUGCUGGCG
This 466-nucleotide long non-coding RNA is filed under the name Homo sapiens (human). RNAcentral describes it as "non-protein coding LINC01615:5". Lineage: Eukaryota; Metazoa; Chordata; Mammalia; Primates; Hominidae. The record is from RNAcentral.